AGAGGAAUAGCUGGGUCAAAUGGUGGGUCCAUUACCAGUUUUCCAAGGAAUCUCCUUACUGGUUUCCAAAUUGGCUGCACCAAUUUGCAGUCCCACCAGCAGU
RNAcentral lists this microRNA precursor (103 nucleotides) under Marmota monax (woodchuck). Lineage: Eukaryota; Metazoa; Chordata; Mammalia; Rodentia; Sciuridae. The record is from RNAcentral.